AAAAACGUCCAGUUUAUUUCGUUGUGUCGCAAAUCACCCUUUACGGCAAUAUUUUUCGUCAAUUGGACGACGCUUUGCGUGUGGAAGGAAAUUUGCAACACAAACAAACAUGGAGGAGUGUUAACGUGACAUAGAGCUCGUACUUAAAAGAGGGGCUACUUCGGUCGCAUGGACGUGGUUUGGGUAUGAAAAGUCAGACACUAACCAGAAAACCGUCCUCUCCCGACAACAGGCUCAAACACCACUAACCUAUUUUACCACCUACGCAAGAAUCAUGUGAAACAGUACGGAGAGUCUACGGAUGAGACCCAAGAAAGUACAGUCGAGUGCUCAAAACAAACCUCUGACUCAGACGUUGCAAGAGGUUUUUGCCCGCGGCACACCAUAUUGCAAAGAAUCACGAAGAUGGAACGAGAUAACAGCUGCCAUUACAACUUACAUCUGCAAAGACGUAGCCCCAAUUUACACGGCCGAGAAACGGGGGUUUCGUGAGUUGGUGCUAGACCCAAGCUCCAAGGCAUAGCGAUUGGUCUCUACCAUGUCUCCCACCAGCUCCUCUGUCAGAAACAACUUGAAGCACUGCCUCAGAUGGAAAUGGCAAGGGGCUUUGCACUCCAGACUGGGACUCAUCAACGCAAACAGCAGGGCCAGGAGGGUGCAAUGGCUAGCAGCCUUCCAGCUACCACAGAACUCCUGUACUUCAUCCACUAUCGGUCUGCCUCCAUCACCACCAGCAUCUUCAAAUUGAACUAGGACUUUGUCAGUGGACAAGGGUCCUCAGAUUCAGGGUUCUCAAUGGCUGGGGGGCAGCUCCUCACUGUUAGAAUCUGAUUCCUGACUUUCAGACUCAUUGUCAGAAUUUUUUUAAAUCUCCAGAAUUUCCACAUUUGUGAGUUGUCUCCUUUUGAAAGACAUUGCUAAUGCUACAGCUUAGCUCAUUAGCUAUAUACAUAAACAACAACACUGAAUGGCUCAGAGUGGGAGUGAUAGGUUACAUGAUUGACUGCCUGCACGCGCCAUUUGUAUUAAUAAAUCACAAUCAGAAAAUGUUGUGUGGUAUUAUUGAUAUAUUUACUAUUUUAUUCACGUUUAUCAAUUACCGUAAAUUCCGGACUAUAAGCCGCAACUUUUUUCCCACGCUUUGAACAUCGCGGCUUAAACAAUGACGCGGCUAAUAUAUGGAUUUUUCCCGCUUUCAAUUUUUUUCUGCCAAAAAAACACAUUCUGUGAUGUGCUCAGUUUUUUGGCGGCAUGAAGCUUUCAUUAGACCAAUGAAAUUGCCGAACGGGUUAAGGUCAAACAACUUUUUUGUUUACUGUUUAGAUUAAAUCGAGCGCUCUCAAACUUCCCAUGAUUCUGAUUAUGGUAGUCAUUUUGUCACCCUCAUCAUGGAGAAAUGCAUAUGAUGCAGCUUUCAAGUUGAAGGCGAUUGAUCUGGCUGUUGGAAAAGGAAAUAGAGCUGCUGCACGGGAGCUUGGUCUUAAUGAGUCGAUAAGACGUUGGAAACAGCAGCGUGAGGAAUUGACUCGGUGCAAAAAGACAACUAAAGCUUACUGGUCAUUUUUUAUUUUUUGUUACAAGCCGUGUUUCGUUAAGGCCUAUUUAUUUUUGUUACAAGCCGUGUUUCGUUAAAGCCUGUGUAAAGUUCAUUUUUUUCAAUGUACCGGUAGGCACCUGCGGCUUAUAGACAUGUGCGGCUUAUUUAUGUUCAAAAUAAUACUUUAAAAAAAAUUCAGUGGGUGCGGCUUAUAUUCAGGUGCGCUUAAUAGUCCGGAAAUUACGGUACCGGUGAUAAAUCGCGUAAGAGCCGCGGCUUUUGUGGCGCGAUGGGAAACGAUGCUUCGUGGGUGUCAGUUGUUGAUGUGUGCAGAGGGUCCCUGGUUCGAGCCCAGGUAGGGGUGAGGAGAGGGACGGAAGAAACUGUUACAUUUGCAUAGAUUGUAAUGGGCACAUAGUAUGUGUGUAAAAUAAUUUUUUGAAGGUUGUACUGAUUGAUGAGCUAAGCUAAUUCCAGCUAUGUGUGGAGCCAGGUUUGUUGACAUACAAUGCAUUCUGGGUUUCACGUGAUCGUCUGUCUGACCAAAGAUGCUGUAAGUCGCUCUGGAUAAGAUUGUCUGCUAAAUGACUUAAAUGUAAAUGUAAUAACAAAAUGAGGUGAGUAAGGGUUCACUCAUUUUUUGAGAACUUCAGGAAGUGAAUGGUGGGAUGUGAACGAUGGUAGACGAUGCUGCACGCUGAAACUAAUCUUCGGAUUACUUUCGAUUUCUAGAAAGUGUUUUACUCACCCGUGAUGUGAUUACUUAUACAUAGUAAUUGCUAUUAGCUAAUUCAUAUUGUAGUUUAUGUCAGCCGAGAGUUAGAAAAUAUGACCACUUGUGUUGCAUCAAUCUUUCCUUAGUUAGCGCUAGGACAAAUGUAGACUAAAAAUAAACUGCUCACAUUCUGGACAUAACUUUGUAAGUACUGUGUUUGUGUAAAUUUCUGGAAAAAAGUGUGGCCAGCUCAAAUGCUGAUUGUUGCGUUAUUCGAAACUGGCCGUUCUAAAUGAGCUUUCUAGUCAUCGUACGCUUCAGGGACCACUGUAGAACGAUCACACCCGUGUGAUGGUACGUGUGAACGGGUUAAGGGAUUAAAGAUUUAAUUUAAGUACAACUCUGA
Molecule: long non-coding RNA, 2658 nt
Organism: Salmo salar (Atlantic salmon)
Lineage: Eukaryota; Metazoa; Chordata; Actinopteri; Salmoniformes; Salmonidae
Source: RefSeq, a predicted model, not a curated record